CGUAGGGGCGAGCGUUGUCCGGAUUCACUGGGCGUAAAGGGCGCGUAGGCGGUGCGGCGUGUCGGCCGUGAAAGCUCCCGGCUCAACUGGGAGAGGUCGGGCGAGACUGCCGCGCUGGAGGCAGGUAGAGGGCCGCGGAAUUCCGGGUGUAGUGGUGGAAUACGUAGAGAUCCGGAGGAACACCGGUGGCGAAGGCGGCGGCCUGGGCCUGGCCUGACGCUGAGGCGCGAAAGCGUGGGGAGCGAGCCGGAUU
RNAcentral lists this ribosomal RNA (253 nucleotides) under uncultured bacterium. RNAcentral describes it as "partial 16S ribosomal RNA". It matches the Rfam family "Bacterial small subunit ribosomal RNA", at positions 526 to 779 of the family's 1533-position model. The record is from RNAcentral.